Non-coding RNA from Schistosoma curassoni, 45 nucleotides. Lineage: Eukaryota; Metazoa; Platyhelminthes; Trematoda; Strigeidida; Schistosomatidae. The record is from Rfam.
AUCCAGCUGAAGAGUCCGAAGUUGAUCGAAACGCGCGUCCUGGAU